CAGUCGAGCGGAACGAGUUAUCUGAACCUUCGGGGGACGAUAACGGCGUCGAGCGGCGGACGGGUGAGUAAUGCCUAGGAAAUUGCCCUGAUGUGGGGGAUAACCAUUGGAAACGAUGGCUAAUACCGCAUAAUACCUACGGGUCAAAGAGGGGGACCUUCGGGCCUCUCGCGUCAGGAUAUGCCUAGGUGGGAUUAGCUAGUUGGUGAGGUAAUGGCUCACCAAGGCGACGAUCCCUAGCUGGUCUGAGAGGAUGAUCAGCCACACUGGAACUGAGACACGGUCCAGACUCCUACGGGAGGCAGCAGUGGGGAAUAUUGCACAAUGGGCGCAAGCCUGAUGCAGCCAUGCCGCGUGUGUGAAGAAGGCCUUCGGGUUGUAAAGCACUUUCAGUCGUGAGGAAGGUAGUGUAGUUAAUAGCUGCAUUAUUUGACGUUAGCGACAGAAGAAGCACCGGCUAACUCCGUGCCAGCAGCC
RNAcentral lists this ribosomal RNA (477 nucleotides) under bacterium 1611-S6-10-1.2. RNAcentral describes it as "bacterial SSU rRNA". It matches the Rfam family "Bacterial small subunit ribosomal RNA", at positions 59 to 516 of the family's 1533-position model. The record is from RNAcentral.